This is a small nucleolar RNA of Onychostruthus taczanowskii (white-rumped snowfinch), 87 nucleotides long. RefSeq annotates it as small nucleolar RNA SNORD116. The record is from RefSeq and is a predicted model, not a curated record. The transcript has a single exon. Lineage: Eukaryota; Metazoa; Chordata; Aves; Passeriformes; Passeridae.
AAAUCUUAAGACUCUCUAAAACAUUUUUUGUAAAGCUGAAUAAAAUGAGUGAGAAGUAAGUCAUUAUGAAGGCUGAACUAAUGAUUU